This 501-nucleotide ribosomal RNA is filed under the name uncultured bacterium. RNAcentral's name for it is "bacterial SSU rRNA". It matches the Rfam family "Bacterial small subunit ribosomal RNA", at positions 516 to 1017 of the family's 1533-position model. The record is from RNAcentral.
CGCGGUAUACGGGGGGUGCAACCGUUAUCUUUAAUCACUGGGCGUAAAGGGUGCGUAUGCGGUGCAUUAGGUCUGUCGCGAAAUCCCCGGUCUCAACCUGGGAAUGGCGGUGGAAACCGGUGUACUAGAGUAUGGGAGAGGGUGGUGGAAUUCCAGGUGUAGCGGUGAAAUGCGUAGAGAUCUGGAGGAACAUCAGUGGCGAAGGCGGCCACCUGGCCCAAUACUGACGCUGAGGCACGAAAGCGUGGGGAGCAAACAGGAUUAGAUACCCUGGUAGUCCACGCCCUAAACGAUGAAUACUAGAUGUUUGGUGCCAAGCGUACUGAGUGUCGUAGCUAACGCGAUAAGUAUUCCGCCUGGGAAGUACGGCCGCAAGGUUAAAACUCAAAGGAGUUGACGGGGGCCCGCACAAGCGGUGGAGCAUGUGGUUUAAUUCGAUGCAACGCGAAGAACCUUACCUGGGCUUGACAUGUCUGGAAUCCUGCAGAGAUGUGGGAGUGC